UUAAAAACUUGAUUUUCACUACAGGGGGACUUUAAUAAAAAUUCUUACUACCCAAAACGUUUGAACGUUAGUGUAUGUUACACUAUUAAAUUGGACAACAAUCAGUAAAUCUGUUAAAUGUCUAGGCUGAGAAAUACAUAAUGCAAUAUGAGCAACUGGUUUUAAAAUUUGACAGAUGUGGUGACCAUAGUAUAAAUGGCUUGGUGUGACAAUGUUAGAGCCCUUUUUCCCUUUGUUUGUUGCUAAAUUUAGUAUUGACCCGCAAGUCGACCAGCCCCGGUGCUCCCCAUGGUCAGCCAUUGCCCCCGUACUGAUUGAUUGGAAUUCCUUCUCUGACUGGCCUCUGUCCUUGAGGUCCUGCUGUAAUUGAACACACCAUUUCAUGCCCUCUGCUUCUUUGUGGGCUGAAAAACAACCUCAUCUUUUGCACAACAAACAAAUGAAAGGCACAGUGUGUGGAGAACAAGCCGAGUGAAUCCAUAAAGCUAUCCUCUUGACAGAUGUUGGAGGUUCUUGUUUGAUGAGAAUCGGUGAGUGGGAUAUGAGUCAAUGAAGCCCAUGCAGAUCGGAUCAAUUCCAAUUAGCUAUCCAGCAAUUUCUGUAUUGCAAGGCCACUAAGCAGCUGGACAUUUUAAUCACAUAUCUCAAAGUGGCCGACCUGAAAGUGACCUCUAAAAAAGACUGGUAAGUGCUCGCUUUCAGCUCUAAACAUGCUCGAGUAAAAAAGUAGAAUGCAGUGAACAUCAUUGAACCACGAACGGAAAAUCCUCUUUUUUUUUUGCCCUUCCAUUUUUAUAGUCAUACUUAAAGAUCAGCCUCUCUUCAAGUAGCAGAAAUAUAUGUUCUUUGUGGAAGUGUAUCAGACUUAAAUGUCAAAAGGCUGUUAAAAUGAUAGGGGGAAAAAGACUGUAAUCUCUUUUAUUCUCCUUCUUCUUCUAGGCCUUUCUCUCCACAUUCACAUUCUGCUUUUUUCUCUCCCCCCCCCCCCCCCCCUACUUUCUCUUCUGCUUUAAUGUCACUGUAUAAAGUCAACAUUAAAGAGCUGCACCAGUCAGCCAGAAGCUAACAAAGAUUAUCUCUCUCCCUCUCUGUAAGAAACUAAAAAGAUGUACACAAAAUUAAGGGAAAAUAAAUUAGCUUCUUCAAAGUAACCACAGCCAGAGGGGGCCAAAUAGAGCUACUCGGUGAUGAGAAGAGGAAACACACAAGGGCUGUGCACAGGGGGAAAUCUGUUUUAAACUCCAGUUUUGGGGAAGUUACUUUAAAACUUGUCAAACUAGAAGUUGCUCCGUCACGAAUGCGGCCUCUGUGGCUCCCUCCGAUCACCACCUGAGGGUACUAAAUUCAUCCGGACUUCAUUUCCCAUAACCCACUGCCUGGAAUAUAAAACAAUCUCACACACACACCCACCGCGAAGUCUUGUUUUGCCACGGCUAACAUUUCUGAGCGUUUACCCUUGUUAUAGUUUUCUCGUGUAUGACCCUGGAUUGUUUAUUCUGUUACGACGUCUCGCUGCCUGCCCAUCUGACUCCUUGCCUGUUUAUCUGGAUACCGCUAGUUCUGUCUGCUGCCAGCCCCGUCCCUGUGCCUGUCCCCUCGUAAUGUUUCUGCCUUGUCUGUGAUACUGUUGUUGUCGGUGAUUUACCCUUGCCUGUUAUACCACGUUUGUCUGCAAUAAAGCUGCAAAUGGAUCCCAUAUGGAGUCAAAUUAA
Long non-coding RNA from Megalobrama amblycephala (Wuchang bream), 1712 nucleotides. RefSeq lists it as uncharacterized. NCBI's taxonomy places the organism in Eukaryota, Metazoa, Chordata, Actinopteri, Cypriniformes, Xenocyprididae. The transcript has 3 exons. The record is from RefSeq and is a predicted model, not a curated record.